AGAGUUUGAUCCUGGCUCAGAACGAACGCUGGCGGCGUGCCUAACACAUGCAAGUCGAACGGGGAUGGGGAGCUUGCUUCCUAUUCUAGUGGCGCACGGGUGAGUAACGCGUAGAUAAUCUGCCUGACGAUCUGGGAUAACACUUCGAAAGGGGUGCUAAUACCGGAUAAGCCCACGGGGACUUUGGUCUUUGCGGGAAA
This 200-nucleotide ribosomal RNA is filed under the name uncultured bacterium. RNAcentral describes it as "partial 16S ribosomal RNA". It matches the Rfam family "Bacterial small subunit ribosomal RNA", at positions 8 to 204 of the family's 1533-position model. The record is from RNAcentral.